Long non-coding RNA from Lepisosteus oculatus (spotted gar), 1972 nucleotides. RefSeq lists it as uncharacterized. Lineage: Eukaryota; Metazoa; Chordata; Actinopteri; Semionotiformes; Lepisosteidae. The record is from RefSeq and is a predicted model, not a curated record.
CUCAACCGUGUCUACCGUGGCGACCUCUAGUGUUUGCCCCGUUGUAACUACAUCCAGACAAGGAACAGCCGAGAACAUUCAAUUUUAUGCACUAAACACACACUGGCAGGUUAAAAGACUAUCGCCGGAAUUGGUGCUUCUCUCAUGGGUAUCCUCCACACAAUUUCCCUGGUGGGUUUUUAUUAUCGUUUACGAUGGAAGCAGAAGACUGCGGCUACCUUUCAGCUAUCCCAUUGUUGACAUUUUUGAAGUAUGUAUUCUUUAUUUCCACUUGUCUGAAUCGAUUAUUUCUGUUAAUAACAAAUCUGUGCAUCACUGUCAGAGGUAGGUAGAGCUGGUCACUAACACUAACACAGGCUGCGUUGAAAAGGUUCCUGGGUUUCAGGUCGCGCCUGUAAUCCCACAGUUUGAUGGGGCUCGUAGCAGACGCAGCUUCUCCAGAAACUGUCAACUAAUGUCCCCAUUCAUUUUCCGUGUUCACGCAAUACUGUGAGAGGGACACAGAGUCAGCCACCAGAGGGCACUGCUAACACAACAAAAACAAGAGAACGGAACAACAGGUCCUUCUUGCCGAAGAAAGGUGAAAAACUGAAGCCCUCAGUAUUGUUUGUUCUACAAGGGUGUGAGCUGAUGCCAACACGUAUACAGUGUUUUUUUUCCAGAGGCACGACAUGCUGGCCAGGUUAAUUGGUGUCUCUAUACUGUCGGUGUGCCCUGUGAUGGACUGAUGUCCCUUCAGGGUGUAGAUCCCACUUGCAUUAGAUGUCCACAGAAGCCCUUAUCAGAAGCAUCCGCCGUGAAGACGGAUCGAUGUAGCAUGUGGGAAUGAUCUCUUCAGAUCCCCGAAGAUAAGCAAGACUAAGAUUGGUUAGUAAAUGGAUUGGAGACCUCUAAGAACCACACUACUGGGAUCAGACAUCAAGAGUAUUUGCAAGUUAUUCUUCAAUAUGUUGUGAUGCAGCAUCCCCUGGGACUGUGCCUUGAUAGAGCUGAGCUUCUUCCUCCCUGGAACUGCUGGCAUCGAUAACAUAGGGUGCAAAUGAGAUUUCACCCUCUUGAAGAAAGUGGCUGUUGCUCAGUGCGCUGGUGAUUGGAUUUGAAGCCUUGCAUCUCUAGUUCUCCUGUCCUUUUGUCCUCCUCCAUCACCGGUGAUGAUCACAAAUCAUUUCCACUGUAAGACUUUGAGCAGCCUGUGUUGAAUAUGUUGAGCUGCUUCCAAAUGAAUGGCUUUCUGUGGAUGAACCUUCCAUCACAUACAAUUGGUGCUAAUUGACACUGGAUCAAAACCUCUCAAAGAAGCCAAAUGGAGUGGAAUGAGGUGAAUUGCUUGCAGUGUAUGUAUUUGAUCUUGCUACAUUUAGGUUAUCUGAAAGCUACUUUUACCAGCAAGACGAAAUGAAGAGACUAUUUCACCAGCAAGACCGAAUUAAAGAAUUUCUUUUCAAGUGCGAGACUCUCUCAUGCAAUCAGUCCUGGUCCUCUCUAAAGAUAGUUUUAGCACAGGGAAGAAAAAACAUUUCUAAAUGUACUUUUUAAUUUUCUCAGUCCAGCUUAAUUAUUGUUCUUUAGUGGUGCAUGGACCUUUAAAACCACAAAACUGUUUCUAUGAAAAUAAACCUCAAAAUCUUGAAAAACUGAAACUAAACAGAAAAAACACAAAACAGUAACACUAUUGAGGUUAAUGUGCAGUUUAUAGGGUAAAAAUAAUUGUGUUCAGCACAUUACACAUCAUUGUUUUCCCCAGAACUUAUUUUAUUUUUGGUGUUGAAUAGAUCACAGAAAACCAAAGACACAUGGUGAUGUAACAUGAUUAUUUUUGUGCACCCAAAGCCAAGGCAAAGUAAUCCGUCUGUAGGUGUCAGCAGUAAUUAAAUCUGAGGAGCUAUCUUUGUUUGGAUAUGAAAAUAAAUAAAAUAGUUUUCUAUAAUGUAAUUGUAAUAUCAACAGCAAAAAAAUAAAAUCAAUAAAAAUG